CUCUGGUAUUGAUUGGUGCUUGCAUCAUGAUUUACAUUUGAGUGAGUGGCGAACUGGUGAGUAACACGUGGGAAACCUGCCCAGAAGCGGGGGAUAACACCUGGAAACAGAUGCUAAUACCGCAUAACAACUUGGACCGCAUGGUCCGAGCUUGAAAGAUGGCUUCGGCUAUCACUUUUGGAUGGUCCCGCGGCGUAUUAGCUAGAUGGUGGGGUAACGGCUCACCAUGGCAGUGAUACGUAGCCGACCUGAGAGGGUAAUCGGCCACAUUGGGACUGAGACACGGCCCAAACUCCUACGGGAGGCAGCAGUA
This 313-nucleotide ribosomal RNA is filed under the name Lactiplantibacillus plantarum. RNAcentral's name for it is "bacterial SSU rRNA". It matches the Rfam family "Bacterial small subunit ribosomal RNA", at positions 70 to 355 of the family's 1533-position model. Lineage: Bacteria; Bacillati; Bacillota; Bacilli; Lactobacillales; Lactobacillaceae. The record is from RNAcentral.